GCAAGUCGAGGGGCAGCGAGAGGAAAGCUUGCUUUCCUGUCGGCGACCGGCGCACGGGUGAGUAACGCGUAUCCAACCUUCCCCAUAGUAGAGGAUAGCCCGGCGAAAGUCGGAUUAAUACUCUAUGUUGUGUCAUGAGGACAUCUGAAUAACACUAAAGAUUUAUCGCUAUGGGAUGGGGAUGCGUCUGAUUAGCUUGUUGGCGGGUAACGGCCCACCAAGGCGACGAUCAGUAGGGGUUCUGAGAGGAAGGUCCCCCACACUUGGUACUGAGACACGGACCAAACUCCUACGGGAGGCAGCAGUGAGGAAUAUUGGUCAAUGGGCGCGAGCCUGAACCAGCCAAGUAGCGUGCCAGGAUGACUGCCCUAUGGGUUGUAAACUGUCUUUUAUGCGGGAAUAAAGUCAGGUACGUGUACCUUGUUUGUAUGUACCGCAUGAAUAAGGACCGGCUAAUUCCGUGCCAGCCGCCGC
RNAcentral lists this ribosomal RNA (474 nucleotides) under uncultured bacterium. RNAcentral's name for it is "bacterial SSU rRNA". It matches the Rfam family "Bacterial small subunit ribosomal RNA", at positions 57 to 518 of the family's 1533-position model. The record is from RNAcentral.